Cephus cinctus (wheat stem sawfly) is the source of this 287-nucleotide long non-coding RNA. RefSeq lists it as uncharacterized. The transcript has 2 exons. Lineage: Eukaryota; Metazoa; Arthropoda; Insecta; Hymenoptera; Cephidae. The record is from RefSeq and is a predicted model, not a curated record.
GCAUAUUAUUUUGACCACUUUUCAAAUCAUCAUCGAAAAACUUUCUUUUUUACUGAUAGUUCGUUACAUGACAGUUCAGCAAAGAUGACAGGCAGCUACCAUAUCCUGCUUGAGCUGAGUGGCAACAGAGUGAGACCCAACCAUGCUCACGGUACUGAUGGCAAAUUUCAAACUUCACCCACAGUCAACCAGUAUUGAACAACGAAUCAUUACACUGUAUUCAAGUAUUAAAUUAUACGCAAUUUUGUAUAAUAAUAUUUUAAUUAAAAUGAUAAAAUCAUCUGGAA